This is a non-coding RNA of Caretta caretta (loggerhead turtle), 282 nucleotides long. The record is from the annotation of a RefSeq genome assembly. Lineage: Eukaryota; Metazoa; Chordata; Testudines; Cheloniidae.
GGGACAAUCCGCAGCCCCUGGGUCUCUGCAGUUACCGGCCAAAAGUCUGAAAACUUUCCCCAACAACAACGCGGAAAAUGACACUUUGGCUCCAUUUGGUUUUCUUUGUAGCGGCUCUGGAAGGGGCCCGCUCGCAGGUGGUUCUGACCCAGUCGGGGCCAGCGCUGAAGAAGCCCGGAGAGUCCCAGAAACUGCAAUGUGCCACCAGCGGGUUCACUCUUAGCAGCUACUGGAUGGGCUGGAUCAGACAGGAGCCGGGACAGGGGCUGGAGUGGCUGGCUU